UAACGACUCUCGGCAACGGAUAUCUAGGCUCUUGCAUCGAUGAAGAACGUAGCGAAAUGCGAUACUUGGUGUGAAUUGCAGAAUCCCGUGAACCAUCGAGUCUUUGAACGCAAGUUGCGCCCGAAGCCUUCUGGCCGAGGGCACGCCUGCCUGGGUGUCACACA
RNAcentral lists this ribosomal RNA (164 nucleotides) under Hypericum perforatum. RNAcentral's name for it is "5.8S ribosomal RNA". It matches the Rfam family "5.8S ribosomal RNA". Rfam says of the family: 5.8S ribosomal RNA (5.8S rRNA) is a component of the large subunit of the eukaryotic ribosome. It is transcribed by RNA polymerase I as part of the 45S precursor that also contains 18S and 28S rRNA. Functionally, it is thought that 5.8S rRNA may be involved in ribosome translocation. Lineage: Eukaryota; Viridiplantae; Streptophyta; Magnoliopsida; Malpighiales; Hypericaceae. The record is from RNAcentral.